This 279-nucleotide ribosomal RNA is filed under the name uncultured bacterium. Its description in RNAcentral is "partial 16S ribosomal RNA". It matches the Rfam family "Bacterial small subunit ribosomal RNA", at positions 506 to 784 of the family's 1533-position model. The record is from RNAcentral.
UGCCAGCCGCCGCGGUAAGACGGAGGGGGCAAGCGUUGCUCGGAAUUACUGGGCGUAAAGGGCGCGCAGGCGGAACACGAAGUCAGACGUGAAAGCCCCGGGCUUAACCUGGGAAUUGCGUUUGAAACUUGUGGGCUAGAGUCUCGGAGAGGGUGGUGGAAUUCCCAGUGUAGAGGUGAAAUUCGUAGAUAUUGGGAAGAACACCAGUGGCGAAGGCGGCCACCUGGCUCGAUACUGACGCUGAGGUGCGAAAGCGUGGGGAGCAAACAGGAUUAGAUA